This 275-nucleotide small RNA is filed under the name Otolemur garnettii (small-eared galago). RNAcentral's name for it is "Metazoan signal recognition particle RNA (ENSOGAG00000027197.1)". Lineage: Eukaryota; Metazoa; Chordata; Mammalia; Primates; Galagidae. The record is from RNAcentral.
GCCGGGCGUUGUGGCGGGCGCCUGUGGUCCCAGCUACUUGGGAGGCAGAGGCGGGAGACUCGCUUGAGCCCAGGAGUUGGAGGUUGCUGUGAGCUGUAAUGCCAUGGCACUCUACCCAGGGGGAUAGCUUGAGGCUCUGUCUCAAAAAAAAAAAAAAAAGAAAAAGAAAAACAAACUUUUUUUUGAAACAGUCUCACCUUGUCCCCCUUGGUGGAGUGCUAUGGUAUCACAGCUCACAGCAACUUCUGUCUUCUGGGCUUAGGUGAUUCUCUUGC